Molecule: long non-coding RNA, 864 nt
Organism: Astatotilapia calliptera (eastern happy)
Lineage: Eukaryota; Metazoa; Chordata; Actinopteri; Cichliformes; Cichlidae
Source: Ensembl
AUUUACCCUGACUAAAGAAAUCAAGAGAAACGCACCGGGCUGCUCAGUGACUAACCACGGUUACUGUACUUUUAUUAUGAGUAUUAUACUGUAAGAGCAACGGGCUGGACUCUGCUUCUGCUCCUGUGCAGAGCUGAUUAUUAAAUAUGUGCAAACAGCAGCAUGUUUUCUGUCGCUUUCCACAUGUGGAAGGACAUUAAAGCCAACUUUUAAAUUCCCCUCAUUAGUCAAUAGCUACGGAUUAAAUAGCAAAGCCCGAUACUUAUGUACUGAAAUCAACUACUUCCGCUUGUCAGCUUAAGUUAAAAUGUUACAUUUUUCCCCUGAUUAUUAUUUUUAGCUUUUUUUUUUUUUUUUUACUGAGUUUGUUACAAAUAUUCAGGUUAAAAAACUGUCCAAAUUAUUUUUAAUGAAUUAUGUUCACAAAGUCACAUGUUCAGUACUCUGUACAGCUUGCAUCCUUUAGGACAAAUAAUUUGAAACGUUAAUAUUUCUUGUUCAAUACUGAGCUGAUAACACCUCUGUAUGUUGUGACCAGGAUGCAGCAGCAGACUGAACCUCGACUGAAACCUGCUCCAUCAUCUCAUCUUUGCAGAUGUCCAUUUAUAAAGCAUCAACAACUCAAAGGAGCUGACCUCAGAUUCAGACCUCAGCACCACCCAGUGACAGCAGACAGAUCAUCCUAUAUCUUCAAUCUUUGUAGUAACUCCAAAAUUAACUGAAGAAAACAGUACAAAGGUUAAAGUACCACAUGUGCUGUCAGUGAAAGCUGCAGCUGUUUUAUUGAUAAAUUUAAAGACAAAAAGUCAAAAGGAUUAAUCACCCCUGUAACUGUGUCACUAUACAUCAGCAUUAACAGUACCU